CUGAAGGAGCAACUGCCGCGUGAGCGAUGAAGGCCUUCGGGUCUGUAAAGCUCUGUUGUCAGGGAAGAACAAGUACCGGAGUAACUGCCGGUACCUUGACGGUACCUGACCAGAAAGCCACGGCUAACUACGUGCCAGCAGCCGCGGUAAUACGUAGGUGGCAAGCGUUGUCCGGAAUUAUUGGGCGUAAAGCGCGCGCAGGCGGUUCCUUAAGUCUGAUGUGAAAGCCCCCGGCUCAACCGGGGAGGGUCAUUGGAAACUGGGGAACUUGAGUGCAGAAGAGGAGAGCGGAAUUCCACGUGUAGCGGUGAAAUGCGUAGAGAUGUGGAGGAACACCAGUGGCGAAGGCGGCUCUCUGGUCUGUAACUGACGCUGAGGCGCGAAAGCGUGGGGAGCGAACAGGAUUAGAUACCCUGGUAGUCCACGCCGUAAACGAUGAGUGCUAAGUGUUAGAGGGUUUCCGCCCUUUAGUGCUGCAGCAAACGCAUUAAGCACUCCGCCUGGGGAGUACGGCCGCAAGGCUGAAACUC
This 530-nucleotide ribosomal RNA is filed under the name uncultured bacterium. RNAcentral's name for it is "bacterial SSU rRNA". It matches the Rfam family "Bacterial small subunit ribosomal RNA", at positions 383 to 902 of the family's 1533-position model. The record is from RNAcentral.